Molecule: ribosomal RNA, 510 nt
Filed under: uncultured bacterium
Lineage: Bacteria
Description: partial 16S ribosomal RNA
Rfam family: Bacterial small subunit ribosomal RNA
Source: RNAcentral
GACGAACGCUGGCGGCGUGCUUAACACAUGCAAGUCGAACGAAGAGCGAUGGAAGCUUGCUUCUAUCAAUCUUAGUGGCGAACGGGUGAGUAACGCGUAAUCAACCUGCCCUUCAGAGGGGGACAACAGUUGGAAACGACUGCUAAUACCGCAUACGAUCUAAUCUCGGCAUCGAGGAUAGAUGAAAGGUGGCCUCUACAUGUAAGCUAUCACUGAAGGAGGGGAUUGCGUCUGAUUAGCUAGUUGGAGGGGUAACGGCCCACCAAGGCGAUGAUCAGUAGCCGGUCUGAGAGGAUGAACGGCCACAUUGGGACUGAGACGCGGCCCAGACUCCUACGGGAGGCAGCAGUGGGGAAUCUUCCGCAAUGGACGAAAGUCUGACGGAGCAACGCCGCGUGAGUGAUGACGGCCUUCGGGUUGUAAAGCUCUGUUAAUCGGGACGAAAGGCCUUCUUGCGAAUAGGGAGAAGGAUUGACGGUACCGGAAUAGAAAGCCACGGCUAACUACGUG